This 66-nucleotide transfer RNA is filed under the name Dercas lycorias (plain sulphur). RNAcentral describes it as "tRNA-Arg". Lineage: Eukaryota; Metazoa; Arthropoda; Insecta; Lepidoptera; Pieridae. The record is from RNAcentral.
AAAUAAGAAGCAAUUUAUGCAUUUAAUUUCGACUUAAAAGAUUGAGUUUAUUAAGCUCCUUAUUUA